CACACACAAACAAACAAACAAAUAUAAAUGCAUUAUCUUUACCUCUAACUUAACAUGAACCAUCACAGUUCACGUUGGGUUUGAGGUCUUCAUUCACACUCACAGGUACAUAUGGCGGCAAACAACCACACAUACAUGCAAAAACCUGCUAGAAGGGGAUGUCUUAUUUUGUUCAUCUGCUGAGUUGCAGUUGAUUGCAUCUGUCUUUUGAAUAAACCAAUAGCCAUAUUUAAAUAUAGUGAUAUUUGGUGACAGUAUUUUUACCUGAUUAGAAGGGACGAGGUGCGAUGAGGUGUAUUGGACAUAAAAGAAUUGCUCUGGCAAAAGAAUUGGUCUGGCAGCCUGAGGAGGCAGUUUGACUGGCUGUAAUUCAAGUCUGAACUGCAGCUGUUAGGCAUUAAAGUGCUAAUCCUUUGUCCUAUAAUGCUCCAUUAACCCGAUGCCGAUGCCAACAAUACAUCCUACUGUCACCACAGUUUUGGCGAGGUCAGACCACCAACUUCUGGCCCCAACCGGUGUCUCCUCUGUCUCAUCCGUCUCUGAGAGGAACCCUUCGUCACUGUAAUACUCAGAUGAGUCUGGGUCUUCAACAUAGAUUAUGAAUUCCUCUCUGCUAUCUACCUGUAUUUCCUGCAGUCUGAAUUGUUGGAUCUCUGACAGACAUUGGUCAUUGGUCUGUUUAAGUAGUUCCAUUUCCUCAUCUCGCUCCGAGAAUUUUCUGUCCCAUCUUUCAACUUGAUUCUGAAGGUCAUCAAUUGUUGUAGAAAGACGUUCAGUGACGUUGAUGAGGACCCUCUCACCGAUCAGGAUCUGGUUCUUCAUAGUUCGGUGUUCCUCAAGUAGCACUUCAACAUCUGCCUCCAGUUUAGAAAUCCUUGGCUGAUUUAGAUGUUUCUCGUCAACGUUUCUCAGGAUUAUUGUUCCCAAGUGCAGAUCAAUUUUUGCCGAUUCCUCCCAUAGAAGCCUCAGUUCACGGAAUUGUGAUUUUGCCAUGACGCUUGGAAGUCUUCAAACACGUCCACUCUGUUGGUUGUCCAAAGUAAGAAUGCAUCCAAGAUGCCUUCUGGAGCCUUAAGAACUCUUUGACGUAGGCUGUGACGCGUUCCCUUCCCUUUCAUCUUUGUGUGACGUCAUAACAUUCUAUGCGCCACCUGUUUUUCCAUCCAGCUUCGGAGACGUGUGCACCGAAUGCGUCACAGGUUAAGUCACGUGACUUUGGCGUCUAACGCGCUGGCAAACGGUCACGGCGGCUCGCGUAUCUGCAUCCGACCCUCGGAAAGUAUCGUUAACUAUGAAAGCCUUUCAAUCUUCACAAGAGUUUAGAGUCUAAACUCUCCAGAUUGAAAACCUCCGUAAGAUAUAGGUCUAAACUUUAGACCUAUAAAGGUGCGGAGUAAUUUACACGUCAUCCUCCUGGUCGAACGCUCCAUUUGUCGGUCUUCGGGUCACAUCAUCCGUCACAUUUAUUAAUUCUUUAAAGAUUCAUUGAUUAGUCAAUCAACAGAAAUCGACUCGCCAACUAUUUUGAUGAAUCUACGAAUUGAGCAAUAUAGAAAGCAAUUUGAAGACGUCAGGCUGUGAUGGUACUUCGCUAAACUUGAGGACAUAUGGAUUCAUGACUCUUAACUAGUUGUACCCAUACAUGUUUACAAAAGGAGAAAUCUUAGACAAUGUGUUUUAAUAUCUUGUGAAAUACAAAAAUACUCAGGGGACCAAGUAUGGCGAAAAUAGCAGCAAAUCAUCACAUACUAGAUGAUUGAAACGAUUAUUAAGUACUUAAUCGAUUACUAAAAGCAUUGCCAUGUAUUCUCUCAACUCAUUCAAUACGUGUUUUAUACAUUAUACGUUAAAUCUUUUUUGAAUUAACUUAAAAACAACUUUAAUCCAAAAAGAUAACUACAACACGUCAUGGUUAAAUACAAUUUUUCUUAUUUAUUUUUCAACACUUAUGUCAUUUUGAUUCUUGGUGAACUCUUAUUACCCUUUCCCUUUCAUUAAAUGAUGACGCAUACGCAAACCCCAUGCUAGCCUGCACAGCUGUCCUCAAGUCCCAGAGAUCCUCAUUGCUUCUCAGUGAUUCGUCUCGCCGUCCCCACGUAGACAAUGUAGACACAAUAAUAGACAAUGUGAUAUGCUGCACAGGGAUGGAAGCAGGGGCGAUGCCUUUAGCUGGACACAGAGCGGCGCAAGAGUCUCAGAAAUGCUGGUAGAAGUUCAACACAUCAACGACAGUAUAUGAGAAGAGCACAUGAACGUUGCCUGAGGAUUGAUUUCGUUAUAGAAAGUACAGAGCCAUCCAGACCCUCCCCUUUAUUUUUUUGAUUUUUUUAUUCUCUCCUUUUCCUCCCCCCCAUUUCUCUUUGUGCCUAUGGGUAUGUAUGUGUCUAUAUGUAUGUGUGUAUACAUGUGUGUACCCUGUCUGUGUUGAAAAUGCACACACAAUACACAGUUAAACAAUAAACCUGUUGUGUAGUAGCAGAAUGUAUGCAUUUGCAUUUCUGUGUGCUGUAG
Long non-coding RNA from Gasterosteus aculeatus aculeatus (three-spined stickleback), 2511 nucleotides. The record is from Ensembl. NCBI's taxonomy places the organism in Eukaryota, Metazoa, Chordata, Actinopteri, Perciformes, Gasterosteidae.